UCCUUUUUUCUCUGCACUACAGGAGUUAAUGUCCUACCUGUCCCAUCCGACAGUUCAGUGUUUGUGUUUUUUAGUGUAAUCUGCCCAGACGCCUGCAGUUCAGAGCAACAAGGCGCGACCUUUCCGCAGCAUGGGGGAACUGGGUCAGUCCCUGCGGAGUCGACAACAAGACUUCAACAGCGUUUAGGCCAGAGCGGGUUGGGGGUUAGUCCAUGUGACAAGAGCUGGGUGUCGUAUAUGUUUUUCAGAAGGGUUCACACAUCAACCCAACCACGGGCAAAACGAGACCGCUCCGUCUCUAGCUCCCCUUAUCUGUUUCCCAUUUUCUAUUUUUAAUCUGCUGGCAUUCCCUCCCCGCCCCUCUGCUGUUGCCGGAGCAAAACUCUGUGGCCCUUAAAAUGAUUUAGUUCAGCCUCUGACUGCAAGUUCAAAGAAAGGUAAAAAUUUGGUCAGCACAACCGGAAAAAAUACUAAGUUCUCAUGUCACAAUUCCAUAAACUUUGUAACUGACAGCCAUUUUGGUGAUCUGUUGCUAUGGAGUUGCUAUGACAACAACUAACCAGCCACAAGCUAAGAAGUAGCUCUCACCUUGUUCCUUUCUAACUUAUAAACAAGUAAGUACAUUACAACUAUUACUUGAUUACAGUUUUUGAGUAAUCUACCCACCUCUGUAUAAUACUAAGAUAAAUAUCAGUGAUAUUUACUGCAGAACUAGCAAAAAUAUCUAAGCUCUUAUCUGCUAGUUAAAACAUAUAAACAUGUAGCAUACAUGUUUGUUACUACAUGUAUUCACUCUGGUAGUCACCAGAACAUAGUUAUUCACAUGAUGAGUUUGCAUGUACUUUAAAAGUCUGAUUGUAUACGUCCAUGGAUUUCAGGCUGAUUUCAUUACUUUGGCUGAAUCACAAGCUGCUUAUUAGCAAAACCUUUUUAUUAGGAACCUUAAAUUUUGGUAAAGGUGUAGAAGAGAUUAGAUCAGUGAGACCGAACUCGUAUCUAAACAACAUCUGAAUUUUAGUUUUACUUCUUAGCAGGUUGCUUAUCUUACUGAGAAAAACACGUGUUUGAUGUGGAUUACUAGGCAUUUUUGAUUUUCCAACUUGAAUUUAAAAACUUUUUAGACCACAUUUUAUGUAACAUUUCACUGUAACUUUGCCGACCCCCCCAAAAUUGGUCUUAAGAAAUUUUCCUGUUUUUUCAUCUUAAAUAAAUUUUUUUUAGCAAAAUAAAUGAUAAACGAUACAACAUUAGACUGCAGGAAUACAUGGUCCUGAGAAAAUCUGCUCCAAAACACAAUCACACUUUGGUAUUUAGAGGUAAAAUGUUGCAUCUCAUUUUAUCUUUCUUCAGACGGUGUAAUUAUAUAAAUUAAAAGCAGUUCUUUUGAAAGAAAACCUGAGCCAAAGCUAUUAAGGAACCUGCUGAGGUUGAUUUUUACCAUCUGCCUCAACAGAUGUCGGCUGCAGUGAGCGAGGGUUCAUCUUCUUCUCCAAACAGCCGAAUGUAGGAGGGGUUGUGUGACCAUGCCUGACCCAGGCUCAGGUUAAUCCUCUCCUUUGGGCCGCUCCAUCUGCAUCUUUGAUUGAGAGUUGGCAACCCUCGAAGUUCCAGUACAUAACCUCAUUGAGAGGAAACCAGUUUUUACAAAUCAUGCACUCAGACCAUAGAGAAAUCAGUCAGUAAAUUCGAAGAUACUCCACCUAUUUCUUAUACCGUCAGCAGGAAUGUCUAACAAACAUUUUAAAAGUGUAUGAAAACUUAUUCCUGCAGGAAUGGUGGCUUCAGGUCAAACGAGGGGACGGUCACUUGGCAGCCUGCAGUGGAAAACGCCAGACAGUGGUGUCAUCUUCUCUUAAGUAACAUAAUCAGCUUAGAAGGGUUGAUGCAAAGCACUGAAGAUGCUGCUUAGGACAGUGAACGCACUUCCAGGUUUGCCAAUUUUUUCUGCAACACACUGACAGUUUGAGACCGACAGGAGAAAGACAGACUGUCCGAGGAAGAGCUCUUUGUGAAAUCCAAUUAUUACUGAAGUGGAUAGUUUAGACUAAUGAGGUCAUUCGUCAACAGUCACUUUAGCCCGGUCUGCAGAAACAAUUGCACACCAGAUGACGCUUUAAACAGGACAGACCAGAAUAGUCAAAGCAUGCAUUUGUUGACAGAAAAACCUCUGCAGGUGUUCAACAGCAGCAAAUAUUCACACAAAAUGAAAAUAUGCUCCUACUGUGCUGCGGCAGAAAUCAAAGAUGACAUUAAUGCCUUUUAAAAGAAGCAUCGGUCCUCGCUAACUGAUACCCAAAAGUGGUUUACAGCCAGCAUCUGCUAAAAGGAUCAUCUGUCAAAGAAAAUACUUGUUUCUGUGAGCAGGGAAACUGCGGCUGGUCCGGAUCUGUUACUGCAGGCUGAGCUUCAAGCUUCCAAAGAAGAGAUUUGAAAAUAUUUUUUCAACGUUCAGUAGUUUGCAUUGCAAACAGCGCAGGAAGUUCUAUCAUACAACGGUGUAUCAUUGGAGAAUAAAGGAGUAAAUUUCAAAUUUUGAGAUCUCAGAGAUUUUC
This is a long non-coding RNA of Gambusia affinis (western mosquitofish), 2552 nucleotides long. RefSeq lists it as uncharacterized. The transcript is spliced from 5 exons. The record is from RefSeq and is a predicted model, not a curated record. Lineage: Eukaryota; Metazoa; Chordata; Actinopteri; Cyprinodontiformes; Poeciliidae.